AUUUAAAUAGCUUAAGUUUAGAGUAUUAUAUUGAAGAUAUAAAGGUAAUAUUAAUUUUGUUUUUAAAUA
Molecule: transfer RNA, 69 nt
Filed under: Schlechtendalia chinensis (horned gall aphid)
Lineage: Eukaryota; Metazoa; Arthropoda; Insecta; Hemiptera; Aphididae
Also listed under: 1 other name
Description: tRNA-Phe
Source: RNAcentral